This 2891-nucleotide long non-coding RNA is filed under the name Salmo salar (Atlantic salmon). RNAcentral's name for it is "lncRNA (ENSSSAG00000084119.1)". The record is from RNAcentral. Lineage: Eukaryota; Metazoa; Chordata; Actinopteri; Salmoniformes; Salmonidae.
GCAUGCUCUUCAACAGAUCGCUGCCCACACCUGCCCGCCCGUCCAGCAUCACUACUCUGGACGGUUCUGACUUAGAAUAUGUGGACAACUACAAAUACCUAGGUGUCUGGUUAGACUGUAAACUGUCCUUCCAGACUCACAUUAAGCAUCUCCAAUCCAAAAUUAAAUCUAGAAUCUGCUUCCUAUUUCGCAACAAAGCAUCCUUCUCUCGUGCUGCCAAACAUACCCUCGUAAAACCGACUAUCCUACCGAUCCUUGACUUUGGCGAUGUUAUUUACAAAAUAGCCUCCAACACUCUACUCAGCAAACUGGAUGCAGUCUAUUACAAUGCCAUCCGUUUUGUCACCAAAGCCCCAUAUACUACCCACCACUGCAAUCUGUAUGCUCUCGUUGGCUGGCCCUCGCUUCAUAUUCGUCACGAAACCCACUGGCUCCAGGUCAUCUAUAAGUCUUUGCUAGGUAAAGCCCCACCUUAUCUCAGCUCACUGGUCACCAUAGCAGCACCCACCUGUAGCACGCGCUCCAGCAGGUAUAUCUCACUGGUCACCCCCAAAGCCAAUUCCUCCUUUGGCCGCCUUUCCUUCCAGUUCUCUGCUGCCAAUGACUGGAACGAACUGCAAAAAUCACUGAAUCUGGAGACUCAUAUCUCCCUCACUAACUUUAAGCACCAGCUGUCAGAGCAGCUCACAGAUCACUGCACCUGUACAUAGCCCAUCCCAUCUGUAAAUAACCCAUCCAACUACCUCAUCCCCCAUACUGUUAUUUAUUUCACUCCUUUGCACCCCAGUUUCUCUACUUGCACACUCAUCUUUUGCACAUCUAUCACUCCAGUGUUUAAUUGCUAUAUUGUAAUUAUUUCGCCACUAAGGCCUAUUUAUUGCCUUACCUCCCUUAUCCUACCUCAUUUGCACACACUGUAUAUAUACUUUUUUCUAUUGUAUUAUUGACUGCAUGUUUGUUUAUUCCAUGUGUAACUCUGUGUGUUGUUUGUGUCGCACUGCUUUGCUUUAUCUUGGCCAGGUCGCUGUUAUAAAUGAGAACUUGAUCUCAACUAGCCUAGCUGGUUAAAUAAAGGUGAAAUAAUUUAAAAAAUAAAAUGUACCCGGAAAAGGUUAAAAACAGUAUUAUGGUGUUUCGAGUUCUGUGUAGGGCAAAAUUCGAUCCCUUCUCUUUUGGUGUUGCUUCCUCUCUUUAAAGCUCCUAAACACUAUUAUGGCGUUUCCAAUCCUGUCUAGUGCAGACUUACAUCCCUUCUUUUGGAGUUUCCAAAUACUGUAAAUGGGAGUCCCUCUUAUUGUAGGCCUAUAAUCCCUGCUCUUAUAUGGUGUGUUGACAAACAUUGAUAAUUCCAAAAGGUCAAAUGUACAUUAAACUUACUGUAUGCUUCCCUGUUUAAACAGUUUUGACAUAUAUUAUGAUGACAUUUUGUGCUGUUUUUGAUCAUAUUGGUGUUCGGUAGCGUUCGGCAGGCAUUUUUUUUCAGAUGUUCGAGCAAAAAUAAAAAAAUGAUUGAGGCUUGAUGAAGUUCCGAAGUCUACGCCCCUUCUUUGAUGAUUGGUCAACAGUAGGGAUUCUUUAAUGAAGUGUUUGUUGUCAUUCUAUGACAGAUGACUAGUUUUCAUGCACAUUUUUUCACUUCAGAAAUACUGCACCAAAAAUCUUAGUUAGAUGUAAAAAUUCGCGAUUAAGACCACCUCAACAAAAACGUUAAUGACAGACUUCUUGAGUUAUCAUAGAUGAAUUCGGACUAUUUGGAGAACGUGUACUGGUUUACGCCGUCUCAAGAGGGACAAACAGUAAUAUUGCCGCUUUCUUGUCGUUUUUCAAGCGAGGGUAUUUUAAGGGAGUAUGCGAGCGCAGACGUUCACGUCGCCUAGCCGAGUUCUGCUAGGAGCAAACCUGAACAUGUGUAUGCGGACGCCUUUAUUCUCAAUCAAAGGACAUAAGAAAAUAUAGUUUUGUCCAGGAUAAUAAAUUAUGAGUACAAACCUACUUCAAAUGCUUUAUCUUUUCUUUGCAAAUUAUCAAAUGACAACAAGACAUUAUCACAUCUUUCACAUUUUAUAUUGAUAAAGUAAGAUAGUUCAAAGAUCUGUAAGGUAUUGUGACGACCCUGGGUAGUCAGGUCAUUACAGUAUUUAUCACAUUCAUAUUCUUCAAAAAUAAAGUGAGAUAUGGCCUUCAAUUUAACAUUCAUAGAAGAAGAAAAUGCACGCAAUGACUGCUAAUGUUAGCGAACAAACUGCAAAACUGAAGCCAGACGCUUUACUCCCAUCUAGUGGACGUUCUUUAUAUUGCACCUAGUGGUUGCACUUCCUGUGCUCGUGACCGCAGAAGACAAAACAGGAAGUAGUUGAUUGUUGUUAGCUAGCUACUGUUUGACUCCCGAAUGAACUCAUUUUACAUCCUUCAUCAUCCUGUCUUUCAUAGCCCUCAUGCUAGCACCAUCUCUACGUUUAACUUUCCUUUAUGUUUUAUGAAUACUUUAAUGUCAUUGUUUAUCCGCUUAUAUAACUAUUUACAACAUCAAAAAGAUCGCUUGCCAAAAUGGUCUUUGCCGUUGUCAUGGAGAUGUAUUGUGUAUAGCCUAGCUGUUUGCUAGCCCAUUGAGCCAAUGUGACUAUGUAGCCUCUGUUUUCCUCAUGCUACAGUAGGUAAUAAGUAUGUGUUUGCAUCCAAUUGUACAGUAUGUUCAUCCUAGUAUACUUACCCAUUCUACAUACCUAUUUUGACCUGUUGCCAAGGAGGCCCUUGACAAAAGAUGACUGGAGGCCAUUGUUGGUAAAGGUUAUGUGGUGGAGAAAUGUGGCUUCAACAAAGAAGAGGAUCUUUAGAUACUUAAGUAAAAGCUGAAUGAAGAAGGCCUCAAAGGGAUUAGCAGGUGUAAAUAU